This 571-nucleotide long non-coding RNA is filed under the name Homo sapiens (human). RNAcentral describes it as "LHRI_LNC59.1". The record is from RNAcentral. Lineage: Eukaryota; Metazoa; Chordata; Mammalia; Primates; Hominidae.
CUCAGAAUUAUAUAAAUACAUUCUCAGAACAAAACUUAGCCUUAAGUAGCUCUGCCAAGAUGACAGACUCUUUGUCCAAGCCAAGGUUUAUUCUUUCUAGGUGACAUAGUUUCUUUCCAUCUCCAUAUCCACUUCUUCCCUUUCCUUUUACUUUUAAGCUGAAGAAAAACUUUUUUGCUAAAAAGGAGAAGGAUAAAUCUGUAGUAGCUCCCACAAAAAUGCACAUGUAGAUGACACAGCAUACUUUCUGAAGGAGAAAAGAUCAUUAUUUGGGUACUAUCAAAAUUCAUACAGCUCUCACUCCCCUCUCAGUCUAUUAUAUAUUAAUGUCUGUCUCUCCUCACUAUAAUAGGCCCAGCUCUGAUCUUAAGUAUGUUCCUCACAAAUGUAUAUGCUCAUAUGUACCAAAUACACAAUUUUUAUGGAGGCACAAUUUGUAGUAGCUCCACACUACAAACAGCCCAAAUGUCCAUCAUUACUGCACAGCAAUGAAAAUUAAUAAACUACAGUACACAAAGCAACAUGGAUGAAUUCCAGAAGUAUAAUGUUGACAAAAGAAACCAGGCACAGC